AUUGAACGCUGGCGGCAUGCUUUACACAUGCAAGUCGAACGGCAGCACGGGCUUCGGCCUGGUGGCGAGUGGCGAACGGGUGAGUAAUAUAUCGGAACGUACCCAGAAGUGGGGGAUAACGUAGCGAAAGUUACGCUAAUACCGCAUACGAUCUAUGGAUGAAAGCAGGGGACCGCAAGGCCUUGUGCUCCUGGAGCGGCCGAUAUCUGAUUAGCUAGUUGGUGAGGUAAAGGCCCACCAAGGCGACGAUCAGUAGCUGGUCUGAGAGGACGACCAGCCACACUGGAACUGAGACACGGUCCAGACUCCUACGGGAGGCAGCAGUGGGGAAUUUUGGACAAUGGGCGCAAGCCUGAUCCAGCAAUGCCGCGUGAGUGAAGAAGGCCUUCGGGUUGUAAAGCUCUUUUGUCAGGGAAGAAACGGUAGAGGCUAAUAUCCUUUGCUAAUGACGGUACCUGAAGAAUAAGCACCGGCUAACUACGUG
This 484-nucleotide ribosomal RNA is filed under the name uncultured bacterium. RNAcentral describes it as "partial 16S ribosomal RNA". It matches the Rfam family "Bacterial small subunit ribosomal RNA", at positions 30 to 507 of the family's 1533-position model. The record is from RNAcentral.